Coturnix japonica (Japanese quail) is the source of this 1225-nucleotide non-coding RNA. NCBI's taxonomy places the organism in Eukaryota, Metazoa, Chordata, Aves, Galliformes, Phasianidae. The record is from RefSeq and is a predicted model, not a curated record.
AUGACCCAAAAUUGCUCAUUUUUUGGUCAUUUUUUUCCAAAAAUGAUCAUUUUUACCCCCGAUGAUCCAAAAAACCUCCAUUUCCAGUUGGUUUUUUGGGUUGAAAACACCCAAAAAUGGCUCAUUUUGACGAGGCAAAACUUUUUUUUUCUUCUAUUUUUUGUUUUUUAAUAGAAAUGACCCAAAAUUGCUCAUUUUUUUUGUCGUUUUUUAAUAGAAAUGGCCCAAAUUUGCCCCAAAAAUGAAACGAUGGGGGGAAGGAGGGGGGGGAAAGGAGGCGAAUUUUGGGGUGAAUUUGGGGUUAUUUGACGAAAACCACGUUGUUGUUGGCGUUGCGGGCGGCCAACCAGGCCAGGAAGACGUCCCUGAAAUGAGAUUUUUGGGUUAAAUUCCGCCGUUUUUGGGUCUGUUCUUCAUUCUACGAUUCUACAUUCAAGAUUGGGGUCAUUUAGGGGGCUUCAAAGGGAAAUUCUGGGUUAAAUUCCUGCGGUUUUGGGUCUGUUCUUCAUUCUACGAUUCUACACUCAAGUCUGGGGGCAUUUAAGGGGUUUCCAAGGGAAAUUUUGGGUUAAAUUCCUGCGUUUUUGGGUCUGUUCUUCGUUUGAUGGAUCUACAUUCAAGUAUGGGGGCAUUUAUGGGGUUUCCAAGGGGAAUUUUGGGUUAAAUUCCUGCGUUUUUGGCUCUGUUCUUCAUUCUAUGGGUCUACAUUCAAGUUUGGGGUUGUUUAAGGGGUUUCCAAUGGGAAUUUUGGGUUAAAUUCUUGUGUUUUUGGAUCUAUUCUUCGUUCUUAUGGAUCUGCAUUCGAGAUUAGGGUCUUUUGGGGGUUUCAAAGGGAAAUUUUGGGUUAAAUUCCUGCAUUUUUGGGUCUGUUCUUCAUUCUGUGGGUCUACAUUCAAGACUGGGGUUGUUUAUGGGGUUUCCAAGGGGAAUUUUGGGUUAAAUUCCACCGUUUUUGGGUCUGUUCUUCAUUCUUAUAGAUCUACAUUCAAGAUUGGGGUCAUUUAAGGGGUUUCCAAGGGAAAUUUUGGGUUAAAUUCCUGCGUUUUUGGCUCUGUUCUUCAUUCUAUGGGUCUACAUUCAAGACUGGGGUUGUUUAUGGGGUUUCCAAGGGGAAUUUUGGGUUAAAGUCCGCCGUUUUUGGGCCUGUUCUUCAUUCUACGAUUCUACAUUUAAGUUUGGGGUUGUUUAAGGGGUUUCCAAUGGGUUAAAUUCUUGCGUUUUUGGA